GAUGAACGCUAGCGGUGCGCCUAACACAUGCAAGUCGAGCGAUCGAGCCGGACCAAACACCCUUCGGGGUGGGCGGACCGGUAACGGAGCGGCGGACUGGUGAGUAACGCGUAGCUAACCUGCCCUCUUGAUGGGGACAACCACUCGAAAGGGUGGCUAAUACCCAAUGUUGCUCGAGGUCGAUGGACCUUUAGCCAAAGGCGGUUCACGCCGUCGCAAGGGGAGGGAGCUGCGUCCUAUUAGCUUGUUGGUGGGGUAAUGGCCUACCAAGGCGAUGAUGGGUAGCUGGUCUGAGAGGAUGGCCAGCCACAUUGGGACUGAAAUACGGCCCAGACUCCUACGGGAGGCAGCAGUGGGGAAUCUUUCGCAAUGGGCGAAAGCCUGACGGAGCGACACCGCGUGGGGGAUGAAGGUCUUCGGGUUGUAAACCCCUUUUCUGAGGGAAGAAUAAAGGCGGGAGGAAAUGCCCGUUCGAUGACGGUACCUCAGGAAUAAGCAUCGGCUAACUUCGUGCCAGCAGCCGCGGUAAGACGAAGGAUGCGAGCGUUAUCCGGAAUUACUGGGCGUAAAGGGCGUCUAGGCGGCCAGGUAUGUCACCCGUGAAAGCCCUCGGCUCAACCGAGGAAAGUCGGGUGAAACUGCUUGGCUUGGGUUCAGGAGGGGAGGGUGGAACUCACAGAGUAGCGGUGGAAUGCGUAGAUAUCGGGAGGAACACCAGUGGCGAAGGCGGCCUCCUAGGCUGUUACUGACGCUGAGGCCCGAAAGCGUGGGGAGCGAACAGGAUUAGAUACCCUGGUAGUCCACGCCGUAAACGAUGGACACUGGGUAUGGGGAGUAUCGACCCUCUCCGUGCCGAAGCUAACGCGUUAAGUGUCCCGCCUGGGGACUACGGCCGCAAGGCUAAAACUCAAAGGAAUUGACGG
Molecule: ribosomal RNA, 923 nt
Filed under: uncultured bacterium
Lineage: Bacteria
Description: bacterial SSU rRNA
Rfam family: Bacterial small subunit ribosomal RNA
Source: RNAcentral